RNAcentral lists this non-coding RNA (195 nucleotides) under Ruminococcus sp. RNAcentral describes it as "6S RNA". It matches the Rfam family "6S / SsrS RNA". Rfam says of the family: E. coli 6S RNA was the first non coding RNA to be sequenced, but its function was unknown until recently. It consists of 184 nucleotides that fold into an extended hairpin structure with a large single-stranded internal bulge. Lineage: Bacteria; Bacillati; Bacillota; Clostridia; Eubacteriales; Oscillospiraceae. The record is from RNAcentral.
AAUACUCUGCCUUGUACGUGUCAGUAUAGUUUUUAUAAUCCAACACUCAUUUAAAGGGAAUUCGGCUCUGAACUGGGGAUUGCAGACCUCCCACAUGUUUAUUGUGGACGAAGGGAGCGUGAGACUUUCAGGAGAAUACCCACCUUGCUUAACAGCUUGGUUUUAUUCGCUAUAUGACGGCAAGGCGGUUUUAUU